This 93-nucleotide ribosomal RNA is filed under the name Cytobacillus oceanisediminis. RNAcentral's name for it is "Bacillus oceanisediminis partial 23S ribosomal RNA". It matches the Rfam family "Bacterial large subunit ribosomal RNA", at positions 2831 to 2925 of the family's 2925-position model. Lineage: Bacteria; Bacillati; Bacillota; Bacilli; Caryophanales; Bacillaceae. The record is from RNAcentral.
AGAUCCCUGAAAGAUGAUCAGGUUGAUAGGUCAGAGGUGGAAGCGUGGCGACAUGUGGAGCUGACUGAUACUAAUCGAUCGAGGACUUAACCA